GCCCGGAUAGCUCAGUGGGUAGAGCUGGCGACCCAUGCUUGCUGCAGCGGCCUGGGUUCGAAUCCGACCUGCGGCCC
Molecule: non-coding RNA, 77 nt
Organism: Merluccius polli (Benguela hake)
Lineage: Eukaryota; Metazoa; Chordata; Actinopteri; Gadiformes; Merlucciidae
Source: the annotation of a GenBank genome assembly